GACGAACGCUGGCGGCGUGCUUAACACAUGCAAGUCGAACGGAAAGGCCCUGCUUUUGUGGGGUGCUCGAGUGGCGAACGGGAGAGUAACACGUGAGUAACCUGCCCUUGACUUUGGGAUAACUUCAGGAAACUGGGGCUAAUACCGGAUAGGAGCUCCUGCUGCAUGGUGUGGGUUGGAAAGUUUCGGCGGUUGGGGAUGAACUCGCGGCUUAUCAGCUUGUUGGUGGGGUAGUGGCUUACCAAGGCUUUGACGGGUAGCCGGCCUGAGGGGGUAACCGGCAUCAUGGGACUUGAGAACGGACCCGCAGGCUGAGGGGGGGCAGUGUGGGGGAUUUUGAGAAAGCGGCGGAAGACUGAUGCAGCAACGCCGCGUGCGGGAUGACGGCCUUCGGGUUGUAAACCGCUUUCGCCUGUGACGAAGCGUGUGUGACGGUAAUGGGUAAAGAAGCACCGGCUAACUACGUG
This 467-nucleotide ribosomal RNA is filed under the name uncultured bacterium. RNAcentral describes it as "partial 16S ribosomal RNA". It matches the Rfam family "Bacterial small subunit ribosomal RNA", at positions 28 to 507 of the family's 1533-position model. The record is from RNAcentral.